Molecule: ribosomal RNA, 254 nt
Filed under: uncultured bacterium
Lineage: Bacteria
Description: partial 16S ribosomal RNA
Rfam family: Bacterial small subunit ribosomal RNA
Source: RNAcentral
UACGGAGGGUGCAAGCGUUGUCCGGAAUCACUGGGCGUAAAGGGCGCGUAGGCGGCUCAUGAAGGCUGUGGUGAAAGUCCGGGGCUCAACCUCGGAUCGGCCGUGGCGACUCGUGGGCUGGAGCACUGUAGAGGCGGGUGGAAUUCCGGGUGUAGCGGUGGAAUGCGCAGAUAUCAGGAAGAACACCCGUGGCGAAGGCGGCUCUCUGGAACGCAACUGACGCUGAGACGCGAAAGCGUGGGGAGCAAAGCAGG